This 705-nucleotide ribosomal RNA is filed under the name Triticum aestivum (bread wheat). RNAcentral describes it as "partial small subunit ribosomal RNA". The record is from RNAcentral. Lineage: Eukaryota; Viridiplantae; Streptophyta; Magnoliopsida; Poales; Poaceae.
UUCGGUGAUUUUAAUGAAAUUUUAAUUAGUCAUGAGAAGGAGGGAGGAGCACAAAGGGAUCAACGUUGCAUGCAAGCGUUCCGGGGCACUCUGUCUGACUAUACUCUAGAUGACAUAGGUGCAUUGGGUGACCCCUUUACCUGGUGCAGAGGGAGGAUAAAUGUGAGGUUGGAUAGAGCGGUUUGCAAUGCUUCAUUGGAAUCAAUUGUUUCCCAUAUGGGAGUGAUUAAUGGUGAAAUGACAAAGUCAGAUCAUAGGCCGCUGAUCAUUGAUACCAGGUACUACGUGGAGGUGAACCUGAGAGGAGCGGGAAGGAGAUUUGAAGCUAGGUGGUUAAAAGAAGAAACAAUAGAGGAGGUGGUCCAGACUGCAUGGCAGCAAGCUUCAUUUCAAGGAAUUGGGCCAGUUAAACGGAAGCUUGAUUCGGUACAUGCAAGGUUGCACCAAUGGGAUAAAGUAGUUUUUAAAACAGAUGCAAAAGUGGAUAGCAACCCUAUAGCCAAGCUUGAAGAUCUUAGAAGGGGUCCAGCCAAGGAUGAAGUGUUGGCGAGACAAAAGGAAUUUUUGCUAGUUCUUGAGAACUUAAUGGAACAAGAGGUGAUUGAAUGGCUCCAGAGAGGCCGAGUGAACUGGCUAAAACACGGGGAUGGAAACAAAACUUUUUCCAUAAUUUUUCUUCAACCCAAAAGAAAAAUGACACUAUAA